GACGAACGCUGGCGGCGUGCCUAAUACAUGCAAGUAGAACGCUGAAGGAGGAGCUUGCUUCUCUGGAUGAGUUGCGAACGGGUGAGUAACGCGUAGGUAACCUGCCUGGUAGCGGGGGAUAACUAUUGGAAACGAUAGCUAAUACCGCAUAAGAGUAGAUGUUGCAUGACAUUUGCUUAAAAGGUGCACUUGCAUCACUACCAGAUGGACCUGCGUUGUAUUAGCUAGUUGGUGAGGUAACGGCUCACCAAGGCGACGAUACAUAGCCGACCUGAGAGGGUGAUCGGCCACACUGGGACUGAGACACGGCCCAGACUCCUACGGGAGGCAGCAGUAGGGAAUCUUCGGCAAUGGACGGAAGUCUGACCGAGCAACGCCGCGUGAGUGAAGAAGGUUUUCGGAUCGUAAAGCUCUGUUGUAAGAGAAGAACGAGUGUGAGAGUGGAAAGUUCACACUGUGACGGUAUCUUACCAGAAAGGGACGGCUAACUACGUG
RNAcentral lists this ribosomal RNA (495 nucleotides) under uncultured bacterium. Its description in RNAcentral is "partial 16S ribosomal RNA". It matches the Rfam family "Bacterial small subunit ribosomal RNA", at positions 28 to 507 of the family's 1533-position model. The record is from RNAcentral.